AUUGAACGCUGGCGGCAUGCCUUACACAUGCAAGUCGAACGGCAGCACGGGGCAACCUGGUGGCGAGUGGCGAACGGGUGAGUAAUGCAUCGGAACGUGCCAUUGAGUGGGGGAUAACGUAGCGAAAGUUGCGCUAAUACCGCAUAUUCUGUGAGCAGGAAAGCAGGGGACCGCAAGGUCUUGCGCUCUUUGAGCGGCCGAUGUCAGAUUAGCUAGUUGGUGAGGUAACGGCUUACCAAGGCGACGAUCUGUAGCGGGUCUGAGAGGAUGAUCCGCCACACUGGAACUGAGACACGGUCCAGACUCCUACGGGAGGCAGCAGUGGGGAAUUUUGGACAAUGGGCGCAAGCCUGAUCCAGCCAUGCCGCGUGAGUGAAGAAGGCCU
RNAcentral lists this ribosomal RNA (385 nucleotides) under uncultured bacterium. RNAcentral's name for it is "bacterial SSU rRNA". It matches the Rfam family "Bacterial small subunit ribosomal RNA", at positions 30 to 417 of the family's 1533-position model. The record is from RNAcentral.